AACGAACACUGGCGGCAUGCCUAACACAUGCAAGUCGAACGAGACCUUCGGGUCUAGUGGCGCACGGGUGCGUAACGCGUGGGAACCUGCCCUUAGGUUCGGAAUAACUCCCCGAAAGGGGUGCUAAUACCGGAUAAUGUCUUCGGACCAAAGAUUUAUCGCCUUUGGAUGGGCCCGCGUUGGAUUAGCUAGUUGGUAGGGUAAAAGCCUACCAAGGCGACGAUCCAUAGCUGGUCUGAGAGGAUGAUCUGCCACACUGGGACUGAGACACGGCCCAGACUCCUACGGGAGGCAGCAGGGGGGAAUAUUGGACAAUGGGCGAAAGCCUGAUCCAGCAAUGCCGCGUGAGUGAUGAAGGCCUUAGGGUUGUAAAGCUCUUUUACCCGGGAUGAUAAUGACAGUACCGGGAGAAUAAGCUCCGGCUAACUCCGU
This 432-nucleotide ribosomal RNA is filed under the name uncultured bacterium. Its description in RNAcentral is "partial 16S ribosomal RNA". It matches the Rfam family "Bacterial small subunit ribosomal RNA", at positions 29 to 506 of the family's 1533-position model. The record is from RNAcentral.